RNAcentral lists this microRNA (21 nucleotides) under Schistosoma mansoni. Its description in RNAcentral is "sma-miR-8424-5p". The record is from miRBase by way of RNAcentral. Lineage: Eukaryota; Metazoa; Platyhelminthes; Trematoda; Strigeidida; Schistosomatidae.
GUCAACUGAUAAUAUUUCCAU